Long non-coding RNA from Equus caballus (horse), 619 nucleotides. NCBI's taxonomy places the organism in Eukaryota, Metazoa, Chordata, Mammalia, Perissodactyla, Equidae. The record is from Ensembl.
CUGAUUCUUUGAUGAAAAUAAUGAUGAAUGCUCCACAAAGCCUACUAAGUAACAACUAGACUGAGCUCUGAGGAUCUUUGGUGAAAAGUGCCAUUGGAAUGGGUAGAGACAAACCAACAUGGAGAAAAGUGAGAGACAAACAGAUGGAAAGUGAGAGGGAGAGAGGCAUGAGAGCAACUAGAUGAUGCUUCAGGCAGGCAACAGAAGGAGAAAGCAAGAGUCAGAGAUGGAACGGGAGAGACACCAAACUGAAUUCAAAGAAUUUAGUUGAACAAAUUCAACACAGUCCAAUUCAGCAGGACUGCUCUGAGAUGGCCACCAACUGAGCACAAUUAGAACAAAGGAUGAUCCCCAGAUUUCAUGACUUCACCCGGAACUCCAGCUACAAUGGAGAACAAUUCCUCCCGUGUAUGUGCGUCUACCAAAAGGGAGGGAGAGGUGCUAAAACCCUGAGGCUGCCCGGUGCCUCCAUUAUCAGAGGAUCUAGUCCGUGCACAGAUUUCCAAAAGAACCUAAUAUCUGAAGCUGAGGCCAUCAUCCCACAAUCAUAAAGGAAAGCCCAAGAAUACUGGAGAUAUGUCAGCCCUGGCAACAAUGAGAUAUUGAACUAAGAUCUUCA